UAUGGUCAAGUGAAGAAGCGCAUACGGUGGAUGCCUUGGCAGUCAGAGGCGAUGAAAGACGUGGUAGCCUGCGAUAAGCUUCGGGGAGUCGGCAAACAGACUUUGAUCCGGAGAUCUCUGAAUGGGGGAACCCAGCCAUCAUAAGAUGGUUAUCUUGUACUGAAUACAUAGGUGCAAGAGGCGAACCAGGGGAACUGAAACAUCUAAGUACCCUGAGGAAAAGAAAUCAACCGAGAUUCCCUUAGUAGUGGCGAGCGAACGGGGACUAGCCCUUAAGUGGCUUUGAGAUUAGCGGAACGCUCUGGAAAGUGCGGCCAUAGUGGGUGAUAGCCCUGUACGCGAAAAUCUCUUAGUCAUGAAAUCGAGUAGGACGGGGCACGAGAAACCUUGUCUGAAUAUGGGGGGACCAUCCUCCAAGGCUAAAUACUACUGACUGACCGAUAGUGAACUAGUACCGUGAGGGAAAGGCGAAAAGAACCCCGGAGAGGGGAGUGAAAUAGAUCCUGAAACCGUAUGCGUACAAGCAGUGGGAGCAGACUUUGUUCUGUGACUGCGUACCUUUUGUAUAAUGGGUCAGCGACUUAUUUUCAGUGGCAAGCUUAACCGAAUAGGGGAGGCGUAGCGAAAGCGAGUCUUAAUAGGGCGUCUAGUCGCUGGGAAUAGACCCGAAACCGGGCGAUCUAUCCAUGGGCAGGUUGAAGGUUAGGUAACACUGACUGGAGGACCGAACCGACUACCGUUGAAAAGUUAGCGGAUGACCUGUGGAUCGGAGUGAAAGGCUAAUCAAGCUCGGAGAUAGCUGGUUCUCCUCGAAAGCUAUUUAGGUAGCGCCUCAUGUAUCACUGUAGGGGGUAGAGCACUGUUUCGGCUAGGGGGUCAUCCCGACUUACCAAACCGAUGCAAACUCCGAAUACCUACAAGUGCCGAGCAUGGGAGACACACGGCGGGUGCUAACGUCCGUCGUGAAAAGGGAAACAACCCAGACCGUCAGCUAAGGUCCCAAAGUUAUGGUUAAGUGGGAAACGAUGUGGGAAGGCUUAGACAGCUAGGAGGUUGGCUUAGAAGCAGCCACCCUUUAAAGAAAGCGUAAUAGCUCACUAGUCGAGUCGGCCUGCGCGGAAGAUGUAACGGGGCUCAAACCAUACACCGAAGCUACGGGUAUCACGUAAGUGAUGCGGUAGAGGAGCGUUCUGUAAGCCUGUGAAGGUGAGUUGAGAAGCUUGCUGGAGGUAUCAGAAGUGCGAAUGCUGACAUGAGUAACGACAAUGGGUGUGAAAAACACCCACGCCGAAAGACCAAGGUUUCCUGCGCAACGUUAAUCGACGCAGGGUUAGUCGGU
RNAcentral lists this ribosomal RNA (1339 nucleotides) under Pseudomonas sp. NFPP18. Its description in RNAcentral is "bacterial LSU rRNA". It matches the Rfam family "Bacterial large subunit ribosomal RNA", at positions 1 to 1388 of the family's 2925-position model. RNAcentral also lists the same sequence under 1 other name. Lineage: Bacteria; Pseudomonadati; Pseudomonadota; Gammaproteobacteria; Pseudomonadales; Pseudomonadaceae. The record is from RNAcentral.